Molecule: unclassified non-coding RNA, 252 nt
Filed under: uncultured fungus
Lineage: Eukaryota; Fungi
Description: partial contains small subunit ribosomal RNA, internal transcribed spacer 1, and 5.8S ribosomal RNA
Rfam family: Eukaryotic small subunit ribosomal RNA (bases 1-73)
Source: RNAcentral
UCAAACUUGGUCAUUUAGAGGAAGUAAAAGUCGUAACAAGGUUUCCGUAGGUGAACCUGCGGAAGGAUCAUUAGUAAAUGCUUAGGCCUUUAUCGGCCUGAGCUUUCUAAUACUUCAUACACCUGUGCACCUUGUCCCCCAGAGGGGACAUUUUAUAUAACAAACAUGAAAGUAAUGAAUGUAAAUAUACUAAAACAAAAUACAACUUUCAACAACGGAUCUCUUGGCUCUCGCAUCGAUGAAGAACGCAGC